RNAcentral lists this ribosomal RNA (253 nucleotides) under uncultured bacterium. Its description in RNAcentral is "partial 16S ribosomal RNA". It matches the Rfam family "Bacterial small subunit ribosomal RNA", at positions 524 to 776 of the family's 1533-position model. The record is from RNAcentral.
UACGUAGGGGGCGAGCGUUGUUCGGAAUUACUGGGCGUAAAGGGCGCGUAGGCGGCGACCCAAGUCAGAUGUGAAAGUCCUGGGCUUAACCUGGGGACUGCAUUUGAUACUGGGUUGCUUGAAUUCGGGAGAGGAUAGCGGAAUUCCCAGUGUAGAGGUGAAAUUCGUAGAUAUUGGGAAGAACACCGAUGGCGAAGGCAGCCAUCUGGACCGACACUGACGCUGAGGCGCGAAAGCGUGGGGAGCAAACAGG